This is a microRNA precursor of Echinops telfairi (small Madagascar hedgehog), 100 nucleotides long. Ensembl annotates it as microRNA 744. The record is from Ensembl. NCBI's taxonomy places the organism in Eukaryota, Metazoa, Chordata, Mammalia, Afrosoricida, Tenrecidae.
GGUUGGGCAAGGUGCGGGGCUAGGGCUAACAGCAGUCUCACUGAAGGUUUCCUGGAAACCGCACACAUGCUGUUGCCACUAACCUCAACCUUACUCGGCC